RNAcentral lists this transfer RNA (77 nucleotides) under Gammaproteobacteria bacterium. RNAcentral's name for it is "tRNA-Arg". It matches the Rfam family "tRNA". From Rfam's summary of the family: Transfer RNA (tRNA) molecules are approximately 80 nucleotides in length. Their secondary structure includes four short double-helical elements and three loops (D, anti-codon, and T loops). Lineage: Bacteria; Pseudomonadati; Pseudomonadota; Gammaproteobacteria. The record is from RNAcentral.
GGCCCCGUAGCUCAGCUGGAUAGAGCAACCGCCUCCUAAGCGGUAGGUCAUAGGUUCGAAUCCUGUCGGGGCCGCCA